UACAUAGGGUGCAAGCGUUGUCCGGAAUCAUUGGGCGUAAAGGGAGUGUAGGCGGCUUUGCAAGUUAAAUGUGAAAUCCUGUGGCUUAACCAUAGAACUGCAUUUAAAACUGCAUGGCUUGAGUAUGGAAGAGGUAAGUGGAAUUCCUAGUGUAGCGGUGGAAUGCGUAGAUAUUAGGAGGAACACCAGAGGCGAAGGCGGCUUACUGGGACAUUACUGACGCUGAGACUCGAAAGCGUGGGGAGCAAAC
Molecule: ribosomal RNA, 250 nt
Filed under: uncultured prokaryote
Description: partial 16S ribosomal RNA
Rfam family: Bacterial small subunit ribosomal RNA
Source: RNAcentral